RNAcentral lists this ribosomal RNA (459 nucleotides) under uncultured Leptolinea sp. RNAcentral describes it as "bacterial SSU rRNA". It matches the Rfam family "Bacterial small subunit ribosomal RNA", at positions 910 to 1382 of the family's 1533-position model. The record is from RNAcentral. Lineage: Bacteria; Bacillati; Chloroflexota; Anaerolineae; Anaerolineales; Anaerolineaceae.
UUGACGGGGGCCCGCACAAGCAGCGGAGCGUGUGGUUUAAUUCGAUGAUACACGAAGAACCUUACCCAGGCUUGACAUGUUGGUAGUAGGGAUCCGAAAGGUGACCGACCCUUCGGGGAGCCUUCACAGGUGCUGCAUGGCUGUCGUCAGCUCGUGUCGUGAGAUGUCCGGUUAAGUCCGGUAACGAGCGCAACCCUCGCUGUGUGUUAUAUGUGUCACACGGGACUGCCGGUAUCAAGCCGGAGGAAGGUGGGGAUGACGUCAAGUCAGCAUGGCCUUUAUAUCCUGGGCUACACACACGCUACAAUGGCCAACACAAUAGGUUGCUAAGCCGCGAGGUGGCGCCAAUCCAUAAAGUUGGUCUCAGUUCAGAUUGUAGGCUGCAACCCGCCUGCAUGAAGAUGGAGUUGCUAGUAACCGCAGGUCAGCUAUACUGCGGUGAAUACGUUCCCGGGGCUU